Molecule: ribosomal RNA, 270 nt
Filed under: uncultured bacterium
Lineage: Bacteria
Description: partial 16S ribosomal RNA
Rfam family: Bacterial small subunit ribosomal RNA
Source: RNAcentral
GACUAACGCUGGCGGCGUGCCUAACACAUGCAAGUCGAACGAAGUAGCAAUACUUAGUGGCAGACGGGUGAGUAACACGUAGUCAACCUACCUUUAAGUGGGGGAUAACUAGCCGAAAGGUUAGCUAAUACCGCAUGUGAUCUCCGAGUGGCAUCAUUUGGCGAUCAAAGCAGCAAUGCGCUUAGAGACGGGACUGCGUCCCAUUAGCUAGUUGGUGGGGUAAUGGCCUACCAAGGCUCCGAUGGGUAGCUGGCUUGAGAGAGCGACCAG